Molecule: ribosomal RNA, 497 nt
Filed under: uncultured bacterium
Lineage: Bacteria
Description: partial 16S ribosomal RNA
Rfam family: Bacterial small subunit ribosomal RNA
Source: RNAcentral
GAUGAACGCUGGCGGCGUGCCUAAUACAUGCAAGUCGAGCGAACGGACGAGAAGCUUGCUUUUCUGAUGUUAGCGGCCGACGGGUGAGUAACACGUGGAUAACCUACCUAUAAGACUGGGAUAACUUCGGGAAACCGGAGCUAAUACCGGAUAAUAUUUUGAACCGCAUGGUUCAAAAGUGAAAGACGGUCUUGCUGUCACUUAUAGAUGGAUCCGCGCUGCAUUAGCUAGUUGGUAAGGUAACGGCUUACCAAGGCAACGAUGCAUAGCCGACCUGAGAGGGUGAUCGGCCACACUGGAACUGAGACACGGUCCAGACUCCUACGGGAGGCAGCAGUAGGGAAUCUUCCGCAAUGGGCGAAAGCCUGACGGAGCAACGCCGCGUGAGUGAUGAAGGUCUUCGGAUCGUAAAACUCUGUUAUUAGGGAAGAACAUAUGUGUAAGUAACUGUGCACAUCUUGACGGUACCUAAUCAGAAAGCCACGGCUAACUACGUG